UCCAUGCAUCCAUGCUUGUAGGGCAUUGCCUAAACACAUGGAAGCUAUCUUCUUUUGCAGAGCAGCAUCGUGGACACCUAACAUUAGUGGUCACUCUCUUAUAUCUGAGAUUAACUAGUGAAGGGAUAUAGUUCCAGGAAAUCCGCCAUAUAAGAAUUAGGAUUUUUGUUGGUAAUUGUAAAUUCCAUAAUUUUCUGUAGAAAUCUUUAGUUUCGGCGUGUACUAAAUAGUUACUAGGAUCCAAGCUAGCUUCUUGUAAUAGUUUGUAGGCACUUCGAACUGUAAAUUCUCUGGAGAGUUUCUCUUUCCACACUUACAUGUCUUCACAAUUUGUUCUCGCAAGAGGAAUCUGCAAUAUUUUUUGAGCGAUUUCCUUUUGAAAGAUAGAUAUUGCGUCUCCUCUCCCGACUCUCCAGAUGAGACCAUUAAGAAGGAGUCCUUUCGUUGCCCAAAUACUUCUCCAGGAGGUGUAGGCAGAAAGCAACCACCUCAUCUCCUAUAAAGUGCUAGCAUUUCUGGUAAAAAAGAGCAGGAAAUCCAUCUUCGCCAGGUGCCUUCGUGGGAUGCAUUUCAAAUAAGGUUUCUCUCACUUCUUCUAUUGUAUAAUUCGCUCUUGCUUAUCCAAUUCCUCCUUCUCAUUUGCAUUGCUUGACUGUGAAAAAGCUAGGUUGGAAUCAUCCCUUUCGGCUUCAAUCAAUGCUGAUAGUUUGGCUAUAUGAUACAUCAUGUUCCAUGAAAUUCCCCAAGAAACUACCUAACUGGGCAGCCAAGAUUUCAGAAAAAAGGCCAAUAGGGACAUCAUGAACUGAACCCAAAAAGGUGUCAGAAAUAGAGAGACCUGUAACGGAUCCUCUCCUAAUUCCAAUUUGUAAAGGACCAGCAGAUGGAACCUUUCAAAACCCUAUUCAAAUCCAUGAUGUGAAAGAAUUGAAACAAAUACCUUUUUCCUCCCAGAUCUCGGAUUCGUACUCCCUUAACCGGAGGCCACAGAUUCGCCAUUGUACUUUUCAUUGUUGGGAAGUCGGUCGUGCUUGCUAUGAGAAAACAUCCUACUAGUAAAAGUUUUUUCAGCUUUUGUGGGUCACAAUUCCUGUUGCAAGAGAAGG
Molecule: long non-coding RNA, 1106 nt
Organism: Gossypium raimondii (Peruvian cotton)
Lineage: Eukaryota; Viridiplantae; Streptophyta; Magnoliopsida; Malvales; Malvaceae
Exons: 7
Source: RefSeq, a predicted model, not a curated record